This 256-nucleotide ribosomal RNA is filed under the name uncultured bacterium. RNAcentral's name for it is "partial 16S ribosomal RNA". It matches the Rfam family "Bacterial small subunit ribosomal RNA", at positions 524 to 776 of the family's 1533-position model. The record is from RNAcentral.
UACGUAGGGGGCAAGCGUUGUCCGGAAUCAUUGGGCGUAAAGAGCGCGUAGGCGGUCCGGUAAGUCGGUUGUGAAAACUGGGGGCUCAACCCUCGAGAGGCCGACCGAUACUGUCGGGCUAGAGUCCGGAAGAGGCGGAGUGGAAUUCCUGGUGUAGCGGUGAAAUGCGCAGAUAUCAGGAAGAACCACCUAUGGCGAAGGCAGCUCUCUGGGACGGUACUGACGCUGAGACGCGAAAGCGUGGGGAGCGAACAGG